CUUCUCUUUUCUUCCUCCUCCCGUCAUUUGUUUCCUUGUGCGUGCGAACUGCACCUCCUGUACUCGUUCUAAUAUCAAGUAAAAUGCCACGGCGCCGUGAAUCACAUUUGCGAAUAAACCUGCGGACCAUAAAUCAAGUCGCGCGUAACGUCGAAAGAAUCAUCUGCAAAAAUAUGGGUGCAACACGAGGACCUCCCAAGAAAAUGGGUGAAAUAU
RNAcentral lists this long non-coding RNA (216 nucleotides) under Carica papaya (papaya). RNAcentral's name for it is "long non-coding RNA (CPAP_LNC015004)". The record is from RNAcentral. Lineage: Eukaryota; Viridiplantae; Streptophyta; Magnoliopsida; Brassicales; Caricaceae.